This 481-nucleotide ribosomal RNA is filed under the name uncultured bacterium. Its description in RNAcentral is "partial 16S ribosomal RNA". It matches the Rfam family "Bacterial small subunit ribosomal RNA", at positions 28 to 523 of the family's 1533-position model. The record is from RNAcentral.
GACGAACGCUGGCGGCGUGCUUAACACAUGCAAGUCGAGCGGAAAGGCCACUUCGGUGGUACUCGAGCGGCGAACGGGUGAGUAACACGUGAGUAAUCUGCCCCUGGCUUUGGGAUAGCCACCGGAAACGGUGAUUAAUACCGGAUACGACCACUUCUCGCAUGGGAUGGUGGUGGAAAGUUUUUUCGGCCAGGGAUGUGCUCGCGGCCUAUCAGCUUGAUGGUGAGGGAAUGGCUCACCAUGGCUUCGACGGGUAGCCGGCCUGAGAGGGUGACCGGUCACACUGGGACUGAGACACGGCCCAGACUCCUACGGGAGGCAGCAGUGGGGAAUAUUGGAAAAUGGGCGGAAGCCUGAUCCAGCAACGCCGCGUGAGGGAUGACGGCCUUCGGGUUGUAAACCUCUUUCAGCAGGGGCGAAGCGCAAGUGACGGUACCUGCAGAAGAAGCACCGGCCAACUACGUGCCAGCAGCCGCCGUAA